GAUGAAGAACGCAGCGAAAUGCGAUACUUGGUGUGAAUUGCAGAAUCCCGUGAACCAUCGAGUCUUUGAACGCAAGUUGCGCCCGAGGCCUUUGGCUGAGGGCACGUCUGCCUGGGCGUCACGCAUCGCAGCCCCCUCACUCCCACCCUUAGUGGGAUGGGGAGGAAGAUGGUUUCCCGUGCCUCACCGGGCACGGUUGGCCUAAAAUUGGAGCCUAAGGCAUUGGGUUGUCGCGGCAAUAGGUGGUGAACAAGGCCUUGGCCGUGCAAGCAACCAGUCGUGCAGCCCUUUGACAAUCGAAGCUCGUAGGAGACCCAAUGAUGUUGCCUUUUGGUGACACAAACUGUUGCGACCCCAGGUCAGGCGGGGCUACCCGCUGAAUUUAAGCAUAUCAAUAAGCGGAGGA
This 406-nucleotide unclassified non-coding RNA is filed under the name soil metagenome. RNAcentral's name for it is "partial contains 5.8S ribosomal RNA, internal transcribed spacer 2, and large subunit ribosomal RNA". The stretch from base 1 to 121 matches the Rfam family "5.8S ribosomal RNA", at positions 35 to 154 of the family's 154-position model. The record is from RNAcentral.